Molecule: long non-coding RNA, 1058 nt
Organism: Nilaparvata lugens (brown planthopper)
Lineage: Eukaryota; Metazoa; Arthropoda; Insecta; Hemiptera; Delphacidae
Exons: 3
Source: RefSeq, a predicted model, not a curated record
CGUAGCUGGCGGACGCAGGCGUUGCACGGGGCUGUCUCCAAUCACCAUCUCACCCCCUGGCGAUGUCGAACGGUGUGGUGCAGUGGAGGCAGGAGCUGAGGCGCCCGCAGCUGAAGAGCUGGCGCAGCUCUCGGCAGCUCUGCGCUGCCAGUAGUUCAGCACCUGCUGCGAAGGCGGGCUGUCUGGGAGGAUGUAGGAGGGUGAACUCAUCUCGUAUGCUUACUCUCUGCUGUCUCUGAUGUAAAUGGUAAUUUUCCUCUCAUCGCUCGUGUUUAUAUAGCAUUCGUUUCUCUCUCUGUUCCAGACACGUGCGAGCGAGAGCGUGGCACAAGACGAAAAAAAUUCGAAUUCUCCCCAACAACAACACGUGCUCUCAGAUCGUUAUCAGAUUCAUUUUCUCACCUCUCAACUCGAGUUCCGAACCUCAUAACCAGUUGAGCUCUCGUCAAGACAACACAGCUGAGAGGAAUCAUAGGGUGGUCACCUGAGAGGAAUCAAUCAUAGCAUAAUCAUCUACACCUGUAUCCUGCUAUCUACACCUCUAGCCUGCUAUCUACACUCGAGGAGAUUCACGCAACAUCAAGCACUACAUAAUCAUGCCGAGGGAACGCAGACUUCGUGGUAUCAAUUCCGCAGCAGUCCGUCAUCGCAUCAGCCUCGAUGAGGAGGAGGAUAUCGACAUCAGCAGUGUGCUCGAGAGCUCGAAACGUCGAGUUUUCGAUAUAAUUAGGGAACAUGCCGCACGCUAUGAUGGCAAUGUUAAGUGGUUCAUCGUCCUCAAUGUUUUGCUGUAUAAAUUAGUGGUGAUGGAUGACAAGCAGGUUGGUGACUCUGUCUCAUCUCUAAUAAAUCUACAUAGUUACUCCAACAUAGCACUAAAUGUGCUUGAGAACUAUGAAGAGUUUAAUGAGCAUUUCAUGUUAGCUGUGAGAAAAAUUCUCUCAUCUUUUGAAAAUUUUGUAAGAUAUGGGAGUGGAUGGGUGCUAAAGAAAAUUGAAUCACUGGAUGUGAAUGUGAUUAAAUUUAAUCCUAUAUACACAUCCAGUUUCAUUCAGACA